Molecule: non-coding RNA, 291 nt
Filed under: Pan troglodytes (chimpanzee)
Lineage: Eukaryota; Metazoa; Chordata; Mammalia; Primates; Hominidae
Also listed under: 1 other name
Source: RNAcentral
GGCGCGGGGCGGGCAGGAGCAUCAGGUUAGGUUGCGCAGGAGGAGGGGGAACUGGUGCUGGAGAGACAGGGAGAGGGGCGAACCGGCCCCCCACAGCCACUGCAGUUACCAGAAAUCUUCCGCCUCUGCUGUAUGGACCUUACUGGCACCAACCCCGGCAGUAUGAGCAGGAGUUCCACCAUCUUCCUCUGAAGACGUAGCCAUCUUGCUCCAUGAAGGUCAGGACAAUCUGACAUGCACUUGUUUCUUGCCUCUAUACUUGAAGAGUAGUCCUCUUACAUUGUGUACAUU